GACGAACGCUGGCGGCGUGCCUAACACAUGCAAGUCGAACGCGUCUGUGCUUCGGCACAGAUGAGUGGCGAACGGGUGAGUAACGCGUGAGUAACUCCCCUUGGGGAGGGGGAUAACCAUCUGAAAAGGUGGCUAAUACCCCAUAUUCUCUUUUCUCACAAGAGGAAGGAGGAAAGGUGGCGCAAGCUGCCACCCCGAGAGAGGCUCGCGUCCCAUCAGCUAGUUGGUAGGGUAAUGGCCUACCAAGGCUAUGACGGGUAGCUGGUCUGAGAGGAUGGUCAGCCACACUGGGACUGAGACACGGCCCAGACUCCUACGGGAGGCAGCAGUGAGGAAUCUUGGGCAAUGGGCAAAGCCUGACCCAGCGACGCCGCGUGGAGGAAGAAGGCCUUCGGGUCGUAAACUCCUGUUUGGGAGAAGAACAAGAGAGAAGUUAAUAGCUUCUCUCUCUGACGGUAUCCCGGGAGAACGCUCCGGCUAAUUACGUGCCAGCAGCCGUAAC
This 502-nucleotide ribosomal RNA is filed under the name uncultured bacterium. RNAcentral's name for it is "bacterial SSU rRNA". It matches the Rfam family "Bacterial small subunit ribosomal RNA", at positions 28 to 521 of the family's 1533-position model. The record is from RNAcentral.